Non-coding RNA from Chelonoidis abingdonii (Abingdon island giant tortoise), 89 nucleotides. NCBI's taxonomy places the organism in Eukaryota, Metazoa, Chordata, Testudines, Testudinidae. The record is from RefSeq and is a predicted model, not a curated record.
UCUAAUCUUCUAUCUCAGCAGUUCUCAAACUGUAGGUCACAACUCCAUUUUAAUGGGGUUGCCACAGCUGGCUUAGACUUGAUGGGGCC